Molecule: long non-coding RNA, 396 nt
Filed under: Dasypus novemcinctus (nine-banded armadillo)
Lineage: Eukaryota; Metazoa; Chordata; Mammalia; Cingulata; Dasypodidae
Description: lncRNA (ENSDNOG00000052056.1)
Source: RNAcentral
AAUCACCAGGGGAUCUCAUACAAAACUCACACGCCGCAUGCUAGCCUGGAGACACAGGCAGGAGGGGAGGGGGGGCGACAACUAUAUUUCUCCCAGUUCUUUUCUGUUGUUUCUUCACACAGUCCUGGUGCUGGAUUAACUUUAGUCCUGCCAGCUUCUGACGGAUGGGAAGAAGAAAAUGCAGCAAGAAAACUAGUUCGAGAUCUUGAGCCCCUUCCCCCACCCCUGACAGGAGGCCUUCGGUAUAACAGUAAUGGCCACAGCAGCCACAGGGCAUUGCUUCCCGGGAGCCUGACGAAGGCUUUACCUAAAGUGCCUUCUCUACUCUGCCUGACAACCUGCUUUACAGUUGCAAAACUGAGUCUCACAGAAGUCGGGUGAGUAUACCCAGAGCUG